Molecule: transfer RNA, 76 nt
Filed under: Pseudomonas paraeruginosa PA7
Lineage: Bacteria; Pseudomonadati; Pseudomonadota; Gammaproteobacteria; Pseudomonadales; Pseudomonadaceae
Description: tRNA-Gly
Rfam family: tRNA
About the family: Transfer RNA (tRNA) molecules are approximately 80 nucleotides in length. Their secondary structure includes four short double-helical elements and three loops (D, anti-codon, and T loops).
Source: RNAcentral
AGCGGGCGUCGUAUAAUGGCAUUACCUGAGCUUCCCAAGCUCAUGACGAGGGUUCGAUUCCCUUCGCCCGCUCCAG